Molecule: unclassified non-coding RNA, 214 nt
Filed under: uncultured organism
Description: partial contains 16S-23S ribosomal RNA intergenic spacer and 23S ribosomal RNA
Rfam family: tRNA (bases 110-183)
Source: RNAcentral
UGGUGAAGUCGUAACAAGGUAGCCGUACGGGAACGUGCGGCUGGAUCACCUCCUUAAAAAGGAAUAAUAAAUGGUCAAUAAAGACUUAAUUACUAGACAAGUAAUAAGAGGGCUAUUAGCUCAGUUGGUUAGAGCGCGCCCCUGAGGGGGGGGAGGUCCCUGGUUCAAAUCCAGGAUGGCCCAGCUGGGGGUAUAGCUCAGUUGGUAGAGCGUU